Molecule: transfer RNA, 75 nt
Filed under: Deinococcus aetherius
Lineage: Bacteria; Thermotogati; Deinococcota; Deinococci; Deinococcales; Deinococcaceae
Description: tRNA-Ala
Rfam family: tRNA
About the family: Transfer RNA (tRNA) molecules are approximately 80 nucleotides in length. Their secondary structure includes four short double-helical elements and three loops (D, anti-codon, and T loops).
Source: RNAcentral
GGGGAUUUAGCUCAGCGGGAGAGCAUCCGCUUUGCAAGCGGAGGGUCUGGGGUUCGAAUCCCCAAAUCUCCACCA